ACGGAAGGCAGCAGUGGGGAAUAUUGCACAAUGGGGGAAACCCUGAUGCAGCGACGCCGCGUGAGCGAUGAAGUAUUUCGGUAUGUAAAGCUCUAUCAGCAGGGAAGAUAAUGACGGUACCUGACUAAGAAGCUCCGGCUAAAUACGUGCCAGCAGCCGCGGUAAUACGUAUGGAGCAAGCGUUAUCCGGAUUUACUGGGUGUAAAGGGAGCGCAGGCGGUAUUGUAAGUCUGAUGUGAAAAUCCGGGGCUCAACCCCGGAACUGCAUUGGAAACUGCAGUACUAGAGUGUCGGAGGGGUAAGCGGAAUUCCUGGUGUAGCGGUGAAAUGCGUAGAUAUCAGGAGGAACACCGGUGGCGAAGGCGGCUUACUGGACGAUAACUGACGCUGAGGCUCGAAAGCGUGGGGAGCAAACAGGAUUAGAUACCCUGGUA
Molecule: ribosomal RNA, 434 nt
Filed under: uncultured Lachnospiraceae bacterium
Lineage: Bacteria; Bacillati; Bacillota; Clostridia; Lachnospirales; Lachnospiraceae
Description: bacterial SSU rRNA
Rfam family: Bacterial small subunit ribosomal RNA
Source: RNAcentral